CGCGGUAUAGUGACCGUGCGAAGGUAGCAUAAUCAUUAGUCUUUUAAUUGAAGGCUUGUAUGAAUGGUUGGACGAAAAGUGAUCUGUCUCUGUUGAAAUAAUUGAAUUUAACUUUUGAGUGAGAAGGCUUAAAUGAUCUAGAGGGACGAUAAGACCCUAUAAAGUUUAACAUUAUAAUAAUAAAAAGUUAAUUGGAAUUGUAAGAUUUAUUAUUGUGAAUAGUGUUUUGUUGGGGCGACAAGAAUAUAAAUAAUUUAACUGUUCUUUUUUGUAUCAAAGAUAUUUGAGUUAAUGAUCUUUUUAAGAGUAUUAGAGUAAAUUACUUUAGGGAUAACAGCGUAAUUUUUUUUGAGAGUUCUUAUCGACAAAAGAGUUUGCGACCUCGAUGUUGAAUUAAAGAUUCUUUAUAAUGCAGAAGUUAUAUAAG
This 427-nucleotide ribosomal RNA is filed under the name Euastacus jagara. RNAcentral describes it as "partial 16S ribosomal RNA". It matches the Rfam family "Archaeal large subunit ribosomal RNA", at positions 2009 to 2639 of the family's 2987-position model. The record is from RNAcentral. Lineage: Eukaryota; Metazoa; Arthropoda; Malacostraca; Decapoda; Parastacidae.